UCCGGGUCUGUGGUUGAAAGCCGAAGCCAGACGCGGGCAAAGCGGUCCACGUAAGCCGGCCAAAGCGCCGGUGAGCAUGGCGCGUUCUAGAUGUAAGACUGACCGCCUUUCUAAAAAUCUACGGCGAGAGAGGGCGAGUAGGGCGCAAGCGCGAUGAGCAGACCCUCCAGUCAGCGAGUGUGGGGUCAAAGACCAGGUCAGCCGGA
RNAcentral lists this non-coding RNA (206 nucleotides) under pig gut metagenome. RNAcentral describes it as "raiA RNA". It matches the Rfam family "raiA RNA". The record is from RNAcentral.